This 417-nucleotide ribosomal RNA is filed under the name uncultured bacterium. Its description in RNAcentral is "bacterial SSU rRNA". It matches the Rfam family "Bacterial small subunit ribosomal RNA", at positions 355 to 786 of the family's 1533-position model. The record is from RNAcentral.
UGGGGAAUAUUGCACAAUGGGGGAAACCCUGAUGCAGCGACGCCGCGUGAGCGAAGAAGUAUUUCGGUAUGUAAAGCUCUAUCAGCAGGGAAGAAAAAAUGACGGUACCUGACUAAGAAGCACCGGCUAAAUACGUGCCAGCAGCCGCGGUAAUACGUAUGGUGCAAGCGUUAUCCGGAUUUACUGGGUGUAAAGGGAGCGCAGGCGGUGCGGCAAGUCUGAUGUGAAAGCCCGGGGCUCAACCCCGGUACUGCAUUGGAAACUGUCGUACUAGAGUGUCGGAGGGGUAAGUGGAAUUCCUAGUGUAGCGGUGAAAAUGCGUAGAUAUUGCGCAGAACUCCGAUUGCGAAGGCAGCGUACUGGCGCCUGACUGACGCUGAGGCACGAAAGCGUGGGGAUCGAACAGGAUUAGAUACC